GCUGGGUAUGGUGGUGCAUGCCUGUGGUCCCAGCUACUUGGGAGGCUGAGAUGGAGGAUUGCUUGAAUCCAGGAGGUUGAGGCUGCAGUGAGCUGUAAUGAUGCCACUGCAUUCUAGCCUGGGCAACAGAGCAAGACCCUAUCUCAG
RNAcentral lists this non-coding RNA (147 nucleotides) under Nomascus leucogenys (northern white-cheeked gibbon). Lineage: Eukaryota; Metazoa; Chordata; Mammalia; Primates; Hylobatidae. The record is from Rfam by way of RNAcentral.